CUAUACAUGCAGUCGAGCGCGGGAAGCUAACUGAUCCCUUCGGGGUGACGUUAGUGGAACGAGCGGCGGACGGGUGAGUAACACGUGGGCAACCUGCCUGUAAGACUGGGAUAACUUCGGGAAACCGGAGCUAAUACCGGAUAAUACUUAUACUCUCAUGAGUUUAAGUUGAAAGGUGGCUUUUAGCUAUCACUUACAGAUGGGCCCGCGGCGCAUUAGCUAGUUGGUGAGGUAACGGCUCACCAAGGCAACGAUGCGUAGCCGACCUGAGAGGGUGAUCGGCCACACUGGGACUGAGACGCGGCCCAGACUCCUACGGGAGGCAGCAGUAGGGAAUCUUCCGCAAUGGACGAAAGUCUGACGGAGCAACGCCGCGUGAACGAUGAAGGCCUUCGGGUCGUAAAGUUCUGUUGUUAGGGAAGAACAAGUGCCGUUCAAAUAGGUCGGCACCUUGACGGUACCUAACGAGGAAGCCCCGGCUAACUACGUGCCAGCAGCCGCGGUAAUACGUAUGGGGCAAGCGUUGUCCGGAAUUAUUGGGCGUAAAGCGCGCGCAGGCGGUUCCUUAAGUCUGAUGUGAAAGCCCACGGCUCAUCCGUGGAGGGUCAUUGGAAACUGGGGAACUUGAGUGCAUAAGAGGAGAGUGGAAUUCCACGUGUAGCGGUGAAAUGCGUACAUAUGUGGACGAACACCAGUGGCGAAAGCGACUCUCUGGUCUGUAACUGACGCUGAUGCGCGAAAGCGUGCGGAGCGAACAGGAUUAAAUACCCUGGUACUCCACGCCGUAAACGAUGAGUGCUACGUGUUAGGAGGUUUCCACNNCUUAGUGCUGCAGUUAACCCAUUACUCACUCCUCCUGGNGAGUACUGCCGCAAUGCUGAAACUCAAAACAAUUGACAGGGGGCCCCCACAAGCGAUUGAACAUGUGCUUUAAUUCCAAGCAACCCAAGAACCUUACCCGG
Molecule: ribosomal RNA, 962 nt
Filed under: Aquibacillus koreensis
Lineage: Bacteria; Bacillati; Bacillota; Bacilli; Caryophanales; Bacillaceae
Description: bacterial SSU rRNA
Rfam family: Bacterial small subunit ribosomal RNA
Source: RNAcentral